AAAUAGUUUGUACAAAAAAGAAUGAAAGCGUUACUUUUUGUGCUAAGUUAAAAUGGAAGCGGGAAGCUGAAAAUUCAAGGUGUAGAGGCGGGGUGAACAAAAUGAGAUAGAAACGACGUCGUUUUGGCAAGAGUUAAACUAAAACACUCACAACACUUAUCAUUUCUUCUUUCUCGUUGAAAAUUUUCGUACCGCAUUUUCUCUCUCUCGUUGAAAGUUUCGGACAUUAUCAUCUUCUCCAUUUCUUCUUAUGCUUUACUGUCAUCUUGCUGAAAUUAUCCACAAAAUCACUUUAAAUCACCUUUUUCAUCCCUAAUUUGAGCUACCCAAAGGAUUUGGGCAACUUUAGUGACCUCGCAAAUAGCAAAAAUCCCUAGAUUGGUGCUGCACUUGCUUGCUGGCAAGAACACAGAAAAUUGGCCGUGAAUUUUGGGGGAAAGCCAGAGUUCGAAGACUGAAUCUUAAGGACAACAAGAGCUAAGGGAGUGAAGGCAUAAUUUGAGACGGCGAUAGCCGCUUGACUGGCAAUGAUGCUAUGAAAAUUUUCGCCAUGUCCAAUUUGUCUAGGCCUGAACUCAAGCAGGUAUAUUCUGUUAUGUGUCUGGAUGGGGAAUUAUUGUACGCACAUAGUAGGUAGGUGAUGUGGAUGAAUAAUUUAAUAUCGAUUAUGGAAAGGACCUUCUCUCUCUCUCUCGGAGGAAAAAUGUUAAAUGUGCGAUUGGUCUACUGCUUAAGAAAUAUUAUUAGUAUAGUCGAUUUGGAGUUUUUUUUAAUUGUUUUGGUUAUUGGUUUAGUAAGUGAGUCGAAGUGCUAGAUUUAUGAAAUCUGAUGUACCUGUAUCUGCGUUUUAAUUUUAUGCACUCCAAAGUGGAAAUUGUCAAUGUCAAAGGCAGUUUUGAUAUAUUCAUCUACCAGCGGAAAACUCUAAUUGCCGUUAGGAGAUGAAAUUGAAUUACUAAGACAUUGAAGGAUUUUACCUUCGAAAUUUUUGUUAUCUCUCUUUUGCUGUUUACCUUUAUUGCAUUGAUCAUCGUCCUUACCAGGGUUUUAGAGCCAUAGCGAGCCAUAUUUCUUUUCAAUUGCUGGACUUAUGGAUUAUCCGUUCUCUAGUUUGUUUGACCAUUGUGAUUGCUACCACAGUUGGUAAUUUGCUCUUGAAACAUGUUUGUUAGCGUAUUUGAAGUGGCAGAGGAGUUUGAAUUGAACUCCAGAUAUGUUGAAUCCACAAUUUCUUAUGUUGUCUUGGGAACAUUGUUGGCUGCUUUGGUCCCUGUUCUGGGCUUUAAUCCGGUCAUGGCAUCCGAGCAUUUUGCUUCAUUUUUGGGUAAUUUGCUGUGCCAUGGUGACUGUACUUAUAGCAUUAGUAGCCUCCAGCCCAACUAAGGGUUGGAGUGGGCGUAGUCUAAGUCUGCUUGAUCCGCAUGCUUUUUGCCACUUUCUGAUGCAAGCUCCUUUAGCAUCCUUUACAUAGUUACAUUAGUAUAUUUUUCAGGUGUCAUGGUGCCACUAAUGCUUGUACUUGGUCCAGCAGUAUGCAAAAUGCCUGGAAUUUCUCUUUCAGGAGCUUUUGAUGUUCUUACUCAUUCGCUCAUAUUUCAGUUGCCUAGUACAUCAGAAAUUUUUACAUCUGAUUAGAGAAGGUUCAUUGUGUCUGGGCAGCAGCAGAAGCAUGUUCAAUACCCUUCAUAGUGCUAACAAGUCAAUCUCAUGAUGGCCUUCGCAUUUUUUAUGACUUCAAAGAGGCCUAUGCAUGGUUGAGCCAUAACACAGAUGUAGAUCAUAAAUCUAACUUCAUAUUUUGAUCAUGAGAAGACUGAUGCUCGUGCUGCAAGAGAUGCUCAAAAUCUGACCACAGCUGUGUAGUCUAUGCUUUAGUGGCAAAAUCUAGUAUUCUAUCUUUUGGGAAGGAUAUGUAUUGGCCAUUAGAACUUACAACUGAUUAUGUGGGAUUACUAUAUUCCCAACAUUUGUGGUUCACUUCUGUUUUGACUAAUUUGGAGAUGUGUUAUGGCCAAAUAUAUGAAUUUGUGGCAUAUAUUCUAUGUUGGUUUUGCCUUUUGUCA
Coffea eugenioides is the source of this 2063-nucleotide RNA transcript. It is a transcript of the gene named dolichyl-diphosphooligosaccharide--protein glycosyltransferase subunit STT3A-like, with no coding region annotated. Lineage: Eukaryota; Viridiplantae; Streptophyta; Magnoliopsida; Gentianales; Rubiaceae. The transcript is spliced from 8 exons. The record is from RefSeq and is a predicted model, not a curated record.